RNAcentral lists this ribosomal RNA (548 nucleotides) under uncultured Glomus. RNAcentral describes it as "SSU rRNA". It matches the Rfam family "Eukaryotic small subunit ribosomal RNA", at positions 548 to 1098 of the family's 1831-position model. Lineage: Eukaryota; Fungi; Glomeromycota; Glomeromycetes; Glomerales; Glomeraceae. The record is from RNAcentral.
UUGGAGGGCAAGUCUGGUGCCAGCAGCCGCGGUAAUUCCAGCUCCAAUAGCGUAUAUUAAAGUUGCUGCAGUUAAAAAGCUCGUAGUUGAAUUUCGGGACCAAUAUGUCGGUCGUGCCUCGGUACGUACUGGCAUCGUUGGUUUCUCCCUUCUGACGAACCAUGAUGUCAUUUAUUUGGUGUCGUGGGGAAUCAGGACUGUUACUUUGAAAAAAUUAGAGUGUUUAAAGCAGGCUCACGCUUGAAUACAUUAGCAUGGAAUAAUGAAAUAGGACGUUUGAUUCUAUUUUGUUAGUUUCUAGGAUCGACGUAAUGAUUAAUAGGGAUAGUUGGGGGCAUUAGUAUUCAAUUGUCAGAGGUGAAAUUCUUGGAUUUAUUGAAGACUAACUACUGCGAAAGCAUUUGCCAAGGAUGUUUUCAUUAAUCAAGAACGAAAGUUAGGGGAUCGAAGACGAUCAGAUACCGUCGUAGUCUUAACCAUAAACUAUGCCGACUAGGGAUCGGAUGAUGUUAAUUUUUUAAUGACUCAUUCGGCGCCUUACGGGAAAA